GGGACACGUGGUAUCCUGUCUGAAUAUGGGGGGACCAUCCUCCAAGGCUAAAUACUCCUGACUGACCGAUAGUGAACCAGUACCGUGAGGGAAAGGCGAAAAGAACCCCGGCGAGGGGAGUGAAAAAGAACCUGAAACCGUGUACGUACAAGCAGUGGGAGCCUCUUAAUGGGGUGACUGCGUACCUUUUGUAUAAUGGGUCAGCGACUUAUAUUCUGUAGCAAGGUUAACCGAAUAGGGGAGCCGAAGGGAAACCGAGUCUUAACUGGGCGUUAAGUUGCAGGGUAUAGACCCGAAACCCGGUGAUCUAGCCAUGGGCAGGUUGAAGGUUGGGUAACACUAACUGGAGGACCGAACCGACUAAUGUUGAAAAAUUAGCGGAUGACUUGUGGCUGGGGGUGAAAGGCCAAUCAAACCGGGAGAUAGCUGGUUCUCCCCGAAAGCUAUUUAGGUAGCGCCUCGUGAAUUCAUCUCCGGGGGUAGAGCACUGUUUCGGCAAGGGGGUCAUCCCGACUUACCAACCCGAUGCAAACUGCGAAUACCGGAGAAUGUUAUCACGGGAGACACACGGCGGGUGCUAACGUCCGUCGUGAAGAGGGAAACAACCCAGACCGCCAGCUAAGGUCCCAAAGUCAUGGUUAAGUGGGAAACGAUGUGGGAAGGCCCAGACAGCCAGGAUGUUGGCUUAGAAGCAGCCAUCAUUUAAAGAAAGCGUAAUAGCUCACUGGUCGAGUCGGCCUGCGCGGAAGAUGUAACGGGGCUAGACCAUGCACCGAAGCUGCGGCAGCGACACUAUGUGUUGUUGGGUAGGGGAGCGUUCUGUAAGCCUGUGAAGG
This 836-nucleotide ribosomal RNA is filed under the name Escherichia coli. Its description in RNAcentral is "partial 23S ribosomal RNA". It matches the Rfam family "Bacterial large subunit ribosomal RNA", at positions 419 to 1256 of the family's 2925-position model. The record is from RNAcentral. Lineage: Bacteria; Pseudomonadati; Pseudomonadota; Gammaproteobacteria; Enterobacterales; Enterobacteriaceae.